RNAcentral lists this ribosomal RNA (353 nucleotides) under Manga nubifera. RNAcentral describes it as "partial 12S ribosomal RNA". Lineage: Eukaryota; Metazoa; Arthropoda; Insecta; Lepidoptera; Noctuidae. The record is from RNAcentral.
UAAAAUUUAAAAUUAAGAUACUAAAAUAGUAGAUAAAUAUUUAUUUAAACUUAAAUAAUUUGGCGGUAUUUUAGUUCAUUUAGAGGAAUCUGUUUAAUAAUUGAUAUUCCACGAAUAAAUUUACUUAAUUUAUUAUUUUGUAUAUCGUUGUUAUAAAAAUAUUUUUUAAUAAUAAUUAAUAUUUAAAAAUUAAUAUGUAAAUUUAAAUCAGAUCAAGAUGCAGAUUAUAAUUAAGAAUAUAAUGGAUUACAAUAAAUUUAUUUAAAUGAAUAUUAAUUUGUAAAAAUUAAUUUAAAGUGGAUUUAAAUGUAAUUUUAUUUAAUUUAAUAAAAUGAUUAAAAAUUAAAAUAUGU